Molecule: ribosomal RNA, 401 nt
Filed under: uncultured bacterium
Lineage: Bacteria
Description: bacterial SSU rRNA
Rfam family: Bacterial small subunit ribosomal RNA
Source: RNAcentral
UAGGGAAUAUUAGUAAUGGGCGAAAGCCUGAACUAGCAACGCCGCGUGUGCGAAGAAGGCCUUCGGGUUGUAAAGCACUUUUUGAGAGGAUGAGGAAGGACGGUACUCUCAGAAUAAGUCUCGGCUAACUACGUGCCAGCAGCCGCGGUAACACGUAGGAGGCAAACGUUAUCCGGAUUUACUGGGCGUAAAGCGCGUGUAGGUGGUUUGGUAAGUAGGGCGUGAAAGCUCCUGGCUCAACUGGGAGAGGACGUUCUAAACUGCCAAGCUUGAGGAUGGUAGAGGGAGGUGGAAUUCCGGGUGUAGCGGUGGAAUGCGCAGGUAUCCGGAGGAACACCAGUGGCGAAGGCGGCCUCCUGGACCACUCCUGACACUCAGACGCGAAAGCUAGGGUAGCAAAC